RNAcentral lists this long non-coding RNA (13861 nucleotides) under Theobroma cacao (cacao). Its description in RNAcentral is "long non-coding RNA (TCAC_LNC002752)". The record is from RNAcentral. Lineage: Eukaryota; Viridiplantae; Streptophyta; Magnoliopsida; Malvales; Malvaceae.
ACACAAGUUGGCAGCAGCCCUUAUUCGUAGUUACUAAUCUAUCUAUAUGGCCAUAGUAGCUCAUGUUGUUCGGAUGGCUUGGUGAUGGGGGCUAGUUUUAUGGCUUCCCCAUUGGAGGGUGUCCUGGAUAGUGACCAUAAGGUGGCUCAUACACCGGUGGUUUCUUAGGAGGUUCAUAUACUGGUGGCUUCUUCGGAGGUUCGUAAACCGGUGGUUUGGGCUCUGGCUUCUCUUUCUUCGGAGGUUCAUAAACUGGUGGUUUUGGUGGCUUAGGUUCAUAUACUGGUGGUUUUGGUGGCUUAGGUUCAUACACUGGAGGCUUCUUUGGAGGCUCAUAUACUGGUGGUUUGGGUUCUGGCUUCUCUUUCUUUGGAGGUUCAUAAACUGGUGGCUUUGGUGGCUUAGGCUCAUAAACUGGUGGCUUUGGUGGCUUAGGUUCAUAUACUGGUGGUUUCUUUGGAGGCUCAUACACCGGAGGCUUCUUUGGAGGCUCAUAAACUGGUGGCUUUGGUGGCUUAGGUUCAUAAACUGGUGGCUUAGGUUCAUAUACUGGUGGCUUUGGUGGCUUAGGCUCAUAAACUGGUGGCUUUGGUGGCUUAGGUUCAUAAACUGGCGGUUUCUUUGGAGGCUCAUACACCGGAGGCUUCUUUGGAGGCUCAUAUACUGGUGGUUUGGGUUCUGGCUUUGGAGGCUUAGGUUCAUAUACUGGUGGUUUCUUUGGAGGCUCAUAAACUGGUGGCUUUGGUGGCUUAGGCUCAUAAACUGGUGGCUUUGGAGGCUUAGGUUCAUAAACUGGCGGUUUCUUUGGAGGCUCAUACACCGGUGGUUUCUUGGGAGGUUCAUAAACUGGUGGUUUGGGUUCUGGCUUUUCCUUCUUUGGAGGUUCGUAAACCGGUGGCUUGGGCUCCGGCUUCUCCUUCUUUGGGGGUUCAUAGACAGGGGGUUGGGGUUCUGGCUUCUUUGGAGGUUCGUAAACUGGUGGUGGUUUGUAAAUUGGGGGUGGCUUCACCUCGGGAGGUUUGUAAACAGGAGUAGGUGGUUUCCCAUAGCCGGGUAACUCGUAGGUACCAAGGGAGGGAGUGGCGAGAACCACCACUCCCAGGAGCAGUACUAGUAAGUGUGUAAGAGACAUCUUGGAGCUCUGGCUUUCGAUAGGGCAACUCGAAGCCCUCCUUUUAUAGUGGUAAAGGAGCCUUUUGGUUAGUCCAGGUGUCAAAAUUUCUCUCGUUUCAUACCUUACGAAAUAGUGAGCUAGCUAGAUUUGUAAAUAUUUGAGUAAUUCAUAAAUGUGAUAGGGUCCAUUUGGGUCCCACUUAGUCGAAAUUUUGGACUAUGAAUUACAAGGCCUUAUUCAUGAUUGAAGAAGAUUGGCAGUGUGGCUAUUAAAGAAGAUUGGCAGUGUGGUUCUUUUGGCGGUGACUAUUCCUUCUCUUUCCAUAAAGUAAUAGUUAGCGUCACUCUUUUCAUCUUUUUCAUUUAUGAAACAUGCUUUUUCUUUUCCUGCUAAAAGAAGCAAUAGAAUGGCACGAAAUUCUCCUUUAUAUCUGCUCAGCAACUCUUUCCUAACAAAUAUAAGAAGCUCAAGGCGUGAAAAUAUCUCAAGAGACUGAAAGUGAAGAGCGUUUCUAUAAACAAUGCCUCAGGAUAAAGUUGCAAAAAAAUUGCAGGACUGCACAUCUUCUAGUAUCACAAUAGGUGUUCAUCAAGGAAAACUUUUUACUCCAAUUGGUAUGAUAUUUACUGUUUUCAUGUCCUGUAAAGUCUUGGUUGCUACAAUAAAUAUAGUAGAAGUGUUUGAUGACAGCAAAUUUCCUUCUGGACUGCAAACAUUGUUACUAAUUUCAAAUGUAAUGCCACAGCUAUAAAAAAUAAAAAUAAAAUAAAAAAAGCGAAGCCCAGAUGAGAAGGUUGGUACCUUCCGCUUGCAUGUUCUAAGUUUUGCUUGAGGGAGAUUAUUUUGGCUAAAAUCUAACAACAUUGUUGCCAAAAGGCAACUUCAUUAUUGGUGGAAGCCUUUGCAGUCCUGUUGGGAAAUUUACACGAAUGCAGCACUCACCUCUUUGCUUGUUUCCAUAGUUAACAACAAGUGAGCUUAUUUGUCGGUAUUGACUUUUAUGAUGCAUACCCUUUUUCUCUUUCUAUAUUUUGUUUUCAGUUACCUAAUUCCUUAUAGUUGGCACUAGGUUUUUUUUAAAUUCAACGAGUUUUUGCAUCUAAUGGUCUUUUAUUGACUUUUAGAAGCAAUAUUUUAACCUUCCUGUUGAUUGUACCUUAGUUGAACUAAGUUCCAGAAAGACAGCUUUCUUUCACUAUCAGUGUAUGGAUAGCUUAGCAAUUUAGUCUUAUGGAUUCAUUAUUACCCUUGCACUAAAGCCGCAGGCAAAUUACUGAAAGACUAAUCAUAGAUCUUUUUCUGCUAAUUAAGGUAUUUGAGUGGUUCUAUUAUGGAGAGAAAUUAAUUUACUCUGUAAGUGAGGCUAUAUUGAAGAGAAUCUGAACUGUUUACAACUACUUUGUUCUCCAUAAGAAUUUUGGCUGCAACGUUUGACAAUUAUUGUUGUUAUUGCCUUUAUUCUCAUGACAGAGCGCUUUAGGCAGGACAAUCUGGUUCAUGAACACUGCUCAUAAUUAGAUUUUAAUUCCCAAUCCUAAAUUGCAUGUUAAUAGCAUUAUGAAGUAUGUCAUAAAUUUUGCACAAUACUUUAAACUCGGAAAGAGAGUAUUUGGACUUGGGAUCUCUUCCUGGAAGUACGGCCUGGUCACCAUGAAGCUUCCAGAAAUUUGUUUUCUACACGCAACACUGGAUUUGGUAUAACUAAUUGUGAGGAAAUAUGAGCUCUUAAAGCAGAUGAACAGUUCUGUGAAUCGGCUUAAUUAAUUUUCAUGAAUUCGGGCAGCCUAAGGCUUAUUCCAAACAAUUUAGAUGAAGAGUUCGACCAGAGUAAAGAAAUAUUUCAUUAUGUACCAUCUUGUCCUGUAAUUAGGUGAUUAUCAUAUGAAUUAUAAAUUUAUAAUCACUUUCCUGAGUCGAAAUUCAGCAGAUUUCUUUUGUAGUUUCCCCCCACUCAUCUACAGGUUAUUUUAUCAAAAAACCUGCUGGUUUUUUUUUAAAUUAAAAAAACCUGCAGGUUCUGUGCUGCUAUGUGCUGGCAGAAGAAAAAGCUUAAUGGCGAUAGAACAACAGUCAGUGAGAAAGACUGGCAUUUUGCAAAACCGACAUGCUGCAUAAUAGGCCUAGCUUACCUACCGUCCUUUUGAUAAAAUUGUACUCGUUAUAAAAUUAGAUGAACUUUCAAUUCGUAGCUUAUCCAAUUAGUACGUAACACAAUGUUUGAAAUACAUGAUUGAUCAUGAAUGCCAAUAUUAUUGCUUUUUGAUUUUUGCAACUCUGGCAAUGGAUCUUUCCACCAACCAAUCUCCAUGCACGAAAACGCAACAAAAAUCUUGAACUUAGUGGUUCAGUUGAAGUCAAAAAGCCAAAAGAAAGGGAUGAGAGGGGGGAUUGAAACAAAGAAAGCGAAAAGAGAAACAGACCAUGACUGGAGAGGAAAUAUGAAUAUAGGUGGGAAUAAAUAAGUAUUCAUGGAAAUCAACUGCAUGCAGUAACAAAGUGGCUUGUGAGGCUCUUCAGCUUUCUCCAUUAUUGGAGGGUGUCCAGGGUAGUUUCCAUAGGGUGGAGAUGGUUUGGGCGAGGGUAGAGUUCUUGGCUUAUGCUCAGGAGCCGGGGUAUGAGGUUUGGGCAUUGUGGCUGGCUUUUCAACGGCUUGUCCACCUGUGGUGCUGGUCCUUUUUUUGGAGGUAGAGUUGGUGCAAUGGGUGGUUUUGGUCCUAACUCUAGGAGGUAGAUCGAGUUAGUGGAUUGUGCUCAGGAUUUAGCUUUUCUGCUUUAGGAGGCUUUCGAACUCGGGUUCCUGCCUCGUGCUUGGCACUGGCUUCUUAGUUGGGGGAUCCAGGUGGCCUGGAAUGGGUGGUUUGCGCUCAUAUUGAGGUGGCUUUGCGUAAUCAGCUAAACAGGGUGCGCUAAGACUAAAAACCACUGAACCGAUAAACAACAUAAACAAGUAUACAUAGGAGACAUCUUUGUGCUUUGAUGGUAUAAAGAUAAUGGUUCAGAACUUGAAGGAACAUACCAUUUUGUAAUGCUUACCAGCCCUGGAAAGUUGUAUACAUGUUCAAAUUUCGUUCAGUUCGUGUCAUGCACAGAUUACAAAAUAAGUUAAACUAUAUAAUUUGCAGAGCUUAAUUAAGGCGAUAAAAUGGUUCAUUUGUUUCCCAUAGAGAUGAACAUUUAGACAGUUGGGAAAAUCCUGUUCCUAAGAAGGAUGAGGGAGGAAAAGUUCCAACCUCCAGGUUAAAAUCCAUUUUAGUUUCUCUCUCACGAUCUACCGACUUUUGCCCUUUCUUCAUCUGUUUCAACGUUGAUCCAGAUCUCUAGGUGAGCAUUUUGUCAAAGCAGCCAUCAUGGAAAAUGUCAACAGCGCUUGGACAGUAGCAAGGCAUUAUUUUGGCCAAUAAGAACAAAAAAGGUUGGUGCUACAAUUAAGGUAAUUACCGAAGAACUUUUGCUCCUAUUAUUUUUCUUCCGUUUUGUUCGAAUUUCUGUAUGAUUCACUCACUUCAGUCGUUUUCAAGACUGUGAUUUCUUGUAAUUCUAGAUUUUCUUCCAUGGCGUAAUAUUUGACAGUCCGCAUCCGCGUUUCUUGAUUUCCCAUAUAGAUUGCGACAUUGAUGGCCACUUGUCAGUCAUAGGUCGUUGGUACAGUUUCAUCGUGUCAGUCCGUGCCUAUCAUUUCAAUCUAAACAUGCAAAUAAACCCAAAAAAUGAAGAAUAAAAAAAAUAUAACAUAGUUUAUCAGAUAACUUUGGACUUUUAGUAUUGUCAAAGACUUUCGUUACUUGUUGGGAUGAAUUCUGGGUACAAAGUUGUCAAUAUUGGAGGUGUAAACAAGAACUCUCAUUUCCAGACUCAAGGGCUACCUGGAGUAUGUUUCCAGUAACAAACGUGUAGGAGCUUUAAUUUGACAUUGUAGAUGGUGCAAAAUGUGCAGAGAGAACAGAAUCCCAUAGUCUGUAGGUGGAGAUUGAUUGAGAGAGAUACAAAAAUUCUGUAUUUACAAGUCAUAUUUGCUCAUUGACAAAAGAAAAUAAAAUAUUGAACGUGGACUAUUCCCAUAGAAAAGAACCCAUAACUACUCAUCUCUCUUGCCAUAGUCUCUCUCUGUGGUAUGACUCCAUCAAGAUCCAUGAAUUAGUGAUAUCCUUACUUCAUCCUUUAAUUGUGAGGCCAAAAAUAAGACACAUACAACAGGAACCAACACACUGGAGGUGCAGCUGUGUAGUCUACAUGUUCCAGAACCCAGAAGUUUCCUGUCCUGAAAAAUAAGCCAUUUUUUUUUUGUAUCCUUUGACUAAUGUAUGUAAAUAAAAGAAAAUAUAGAUUUGAUAUGUCAGUGCUCUGCAUAUGUAGUUAUCUUCUCGAUCGGAUUUGCUCCUUAUUUUCAAUGGACAAAUGCUGGUAGGUUUUCUGGGUCUAAACUGAAGACUUUAUUCUCCAGACAGGGCAGGUGAAAUUGAAGAAUUAUGUGAGGAAUAUUCUUACUACGAACCGUGGUUUUUCUCCAGGAUUCUACGACCAAGGAAAACAAAUCGUGGUGCCAUAUGUCUCCAUGCAUGUUAUUAUGGGCACAUCAUCUUUCUUAAUUUCUGAUACGACUUACUCACACAUCCAAUGGAGAUGGUUGCCAAAAAUUUGUUUACUCCUAACUGGCUUAUCCUUUUUUACUUUCUUUAUAUUUUUCCCCUAAUAAGUGGUCCAACAACUCCUUAAAUUAUUAUAUCUUCACUUUUUCAUCCAUUCCACCAACUACAUAUAUUUUAAUGUUUUUGUUAUUUAAUUUCUGAUCUUGAAAAAUGACAAAAUUGUUUAAGUUAUUGAUUUAGCCAGCCAUUUAUUGUUUUCUUUAUUGGUGGCCGCAGCCUAUUGGUGUCCACCGACUGCCCCUGGCCAUGCUAGGCCAGGCUCUGGGCCCUUAAGCCCUGCUGGUUAUAAAUAAUUCUAACUUGAACAAACAAUAUUAAGCCUAGGCCCAACUUGAUGAUUAUUUUAUUACGAAAAUAGAUUUUUUUUUUUAUAAUUAAGAGACGAGUAUUUGAAUCUUAUUUUUUAGAGACAGAGAAUAUAUAUUAAUUAAUAAAUUAUAUAUUCUAGUAUUUAUUAUGAAGAUAAUUUUUUUUUUAGUUAGUGGGGUGCGCCAGCCCUGAGCUAUAGUGCAACGCUAGGGCAAUGCGCGAGAGAACCAAUAGCAAGCUACUAUGGUGGACUCUCUCCCUAAAAAAAUUAAUUUAACAUCAUGUGGACUAAUGGCCCAUGAAGAUAGUUAUUUUUGAAAAACAUAAAAAUUUGAUAUGUGAAAUUGAAUUUGUUGGAUCAGAAUUGAAAACCCGAAUAAUUCCGAGUACAAGUUAUUUCGGAUUCAGAUGAUUCGAGUAUGAUAUUCAGAUAUUUUUAUUUAAAUUAUUAACUUUUAAAAUUAUGUUAUAUUUUAUUAAUAGUAAUUAAAUUGUUUAUUAUCACAUUUUUGUUAACUUGUAUCAUACCUUCAACUUUGAUUUUUGAUAUCAUAAAAAAAUUCAAAAUUUUUUUGACUCAUAUAAAAAGGAAAGAAACAAGUGAAAUGAAAGUUAUUAAUUAAUAUAAAAAACAAUAGUUAACUUCUAAAAAAAUUAUAAAUUGUUUUUUAUUGAAUGAUGUUAAUUUUCACUUUCAUUACACAGAUUAUUAUUAGUAAUUCACCGUAAUUAUGGUUCGACUUACAAUUUAAAAUGUCAGUCAUAACUUAUAAAAUAAGGUAUAAUUCUCUCUUUAGUUCCUUUAAAGUUAACGUUUAUUACCUCAAAAUUUAAAAAAUGAAAAAAUAUUUUACGUAAUAAUUAAUGAACGUCAACAACACAAAUUGGUUCAAUUCAAAAUUCAAAACCAGAAAUAGCUUAAACCUAAAAUAACUCGACUCAAAAUUAAUUAAUGAAUAGUUAAAAUACAAUUUCUUUUUAUUUACAGUAUUUAACAUGCAUGCGGAGUUUAGCAUUUUGUGCGGGCCUAAUCCAACUCUUGGAAUUUAAGUGCGUGCAGCCCAUUGUCACAAAAGCACAAAGAACAAACAAGGCAGAGAGUACUUCAUAAAAUAAAAAAGAACAAAAAAAAAAAAAAAAACAAAGAAUUGAAGAUGGGUUAUCAGGAUCAAACUUAUAUGCACAACAAUUCCUUCUCAGCAUCAGGCUUUUCUGUCAGCUUUGGAUCUUAUUUCAUUAUAUGUUGUGAAUUUUGUCUUUACCUUCCCAAAAACUAUUGAUGCUCUGUAGUGAUUCUGGUUCCUUGUAGUAGGGUCUCCCCUGCUUUUUUUUUACAUGAAUAAAUUGUAUUUAUCUGAAAAAACAAAAGAGGGGUUACAGUUUCAGCCAUUGAGGCUUGCUGGGCUGCAAAGAAGCUAUAGAGAGAGAGAGAGUCGAUCAUCAUAUCAAAAAUGUUUAAUACUACAACUAUAGAAGAAAUUAAGACUGUAUAUUACACUAAGUGAAAGCAUAUAUAUAUAUAUAUAGUGACAGUCGUAAAGUACAAAGUUUUCAAACUGCAUGUCCAUGCUCAUUUCCUACGUAGGAAGCUAGUACAUGCACUACAAGCUAAAGGAGUGAACUACGUAAACAUUAAAAACCAACUAUAGCGGGAGUUAUGGACUCAAACCAUUGAACAUAGCUGCUCUUAUUUCUAUGACACUCUCCCAUUCCAUAUAUACUAAACACAACUAGCUACUAGCUGGUAACGCCUAGUUAGCUUGUCGUGGCGGCUUGUGGGGUGGUUCAUCAUGUGGAGGCUCAACGGGCGGUUGGUCAGGAGGCUGGUGGGGUGGUUCAUCAUGUGGAGGCUCAACGGGCGGUUGGUCAGGAGGCUGGUGGGGUGGUUCAUCAUGUGGAGGCCCAACGGGCGGUUGGUCAGGCGGCUGGUGGGGUGGUUCAUCAUGUGGAGGCCCAACGGGCGGUUGGUCAGGCGGCUGGUGGGGUGGUUCAUCAUGUGGAGGCUCAACGGGCGGUUGGUCAGGAGGCUGGUGGGGUGGUUCAUCAUGUGGAGGCCCAACGGGCGGUUGGUCAGGCGGCUGGUGGGGUGGUUCAUCAUGUGGAGGCCCAACGGGCGGUUGGUCAGGCGGCUGGUGGGGUGGUUCAUCAUGUGGAGGCCCAACGGGCGGUUGGUCAGGCGGCCCAAGUGGAGGCUCAUGAGGUGGCUCGUGUGGAGGCACUGGUGGACGCAACUUGCGUGGUGGCUGGAGCACUUCUUUGUUCUCAAGUACUUGCUCUGCCAGAAGGUGUCCCGCGGGGUGAUGACCAUCAUGUGGUGGCUUCUUUCCCUUGCCCUUUGGUGGUUUGUCAAAUGGUUUGCAGGGUGAGCUGUGUAAUUCCUCAACGCAGCCGUCUUCCGAGAGGUGUCGUUGGGGUACUGGCUUAUUAUCACCUGGGCGUAUCGGUGGCUCCUCUUUCUUAGGUGGCAGUGGUUUAUCACCAGGGAUAAACUUUGGUGGUACAUAACCAGGGAGAAUUGGUGGUUUGCGCUCUGGAAAGCGCUCGUCUUCCUCGGGAGGCCCAUUAUAAGCUAGAGAUGGGGAUGGAGUGGUGAGAAGAGCCAUCACUCCAAGUAAAAACAGAAGCAAGUAAGCUUUAGACAUUGUGAUUGGAAAAUCUGUAGCUUGUUUUUGUGGUGAAGAACAUGAACAACUAGCGGCCAUUUAUACUGGAUGGAAUCAUAGCUUUAUCGUCACCACUCAUGUCAUUGAGCAUUUGGCAAGCUAGCUUAGUUUGUAGCUUUAGAUAACUGUUUAAUUAAUUAAAUUACAGAUUUUCAGUUCACAGUUCACAUAGUGCUCAAAAGAAGAGAAGCUCACAAAUUUUAGGUGGUCCAUUUUGGGGUCCCAUCAAAGCUAUUUUCUUGUUUUUCAUUGAGAGAAAACUGAAAACCAAAUUCCUGUCACAUUUAGUCCAUUAAAAUUUAAUUUAUUUUCCUUACUAUAAGCCUGCACCCAAGUGACUCGAUUGACUUCCGUCUAUUUUUAUAAGUUCUGCCUAGGGCUUCUGUUUCUGUGUGUUGGCACGUUGAUUCUGUUCAUAUUUAGCCUUUAAUUUCACUGGAGUGCAAUUCUACUCGAAAUGGUGAAUUAACUUAUCAAACCCCUUUAAAUCACAAUAAAGAGGUGUAGAAUAGGAUAUUGCACCACAGAUUCCAACGUAUAUUCGAUUUUGAUUUUCCUUUUUUUUUAUUUUUGCAUGAAGUAGUCAAAAUUAAAUAGUACUUCAAAAUCAAGUUGAAGAGUUAUUUAAUAAUGUUGCAUAAAUUGUCUAAUGGCAUAUGUUAAAAUUUAGAGUGUUUUUUAUGAUAUCAUUAUAGUGCAAAAUCGAGUCAUAGCUAUGUUUACCUCGACAAUUUGCACAUUAUCACUUAAGAUCACCCACUAACUGAGAUAUUUUCUUAUCUCUUACUUCAAUUCGUUGGAUUCAAUUUCAUGAGAAAAUCACAUUUUUUUAAACGAAAUAAUUAUUGUAUUUUAUUAGAAUCGCUCUAGCAAUGAACACAAAAAUUCAUACACUAUUUUUCAAUUUUUUUUCUAGCCAUACUAUAGCAUUAAAGCUUUAAUUAGAAUAUAUAAUCACUUGGGUCAUUAUAGAUUUUUGUCUUUGGAAUUUUAGCAUCUUUAGGAACAAUUCAACAAGUAAAAAGAAAUUACCUUUUUUUUUGCUGUUUUUUUCAACUAGUUCAGACUUACAACAUGCAUAAUGUUGCUGGGUUUUUUUUUUUUUUUGGUCUUUUUCAUUUCAAUUUACAGCUACUUGACUUUCUCUCUGUUGGAAAGAAACAAAGACAAAACGCCAAAAAAGAAAAAAAAAAAAAAACAGAAGAAAGGAAGGUGGGAAAGUUCUCCUGAGAAUCUGAGGUACUCAAGUCAACUUCAAGGCGUUUGGGGCCAACCAAUGACUCAGAGUCACCGGCCCAGACGUUCGCUAGCGAUCGCUUUUGUCUUGACUCAGAGUCACCGUCCACGUCUCUUAGAACUAUAGUUGAGUUUUUCUUCUAUUUCUACGUACUUCCUCAAAAUUCAACAGGGAAUCGAGGAACGAGCUAGCCAAUGAAUCACUUAUUUUUCUUUGAUUUCAUACUUUAUAUAUAAAAAUGAAACAGUGUAAAUUUGGAAAUGGGUAAGAAAGCAAUAAAUUGAUUAAUUUGAUUAUAUAUGAAACAACAUCAGUUUAAUUUUGGAUUAUUAUAUUUCUAAUUCCCAUCAUUCCCUGGCAGUCAAAGUUGAGAAAAUUUCAUCAGUUCGAUAGGAGCAUUCAGAAGGCAACGAGUGAAAGCUUUGUUUUUUGUCAACCAAAAAUCCAAAAUCUGAAAGCGGCGAAAGCACAGUGGGUGAAACACUGAAAAUUAAAUCAGAAUAUCCCAAAAUAGUGAAUAAAGUAGAAAAUCCAUAUCAUACAAACAACAGAUAAACCAUAGAUGACGCAGGAGUUUCUGUAACAACAAAGUACAAUCUGCAUAACUCCAUAGAUAUGGCCUCCCAAGUCAUGAAUAAAUAAAGCAUAGGACUUGGCCAACGUGGAUGUACAUGUAACUAGCUAGAGACUACUAAUGAAAGACAACUCAGCAUCAGCUCUUAUUUGUGCGAUAAACUAGCGGUAUCAGGCUGAUGAUCUUCUAAUUUUAGGUACUAAUUAAUUUAGUUGCCGUGUGGAGGCUUGUGGGGUGGUUUAUAGGGUGGCACUUUUGGCUUCAACUUAUUGAUCGGUGUCUUGCGCGAGGCCUCAGUUCCCUGUCCUGGGUGACGUUUGUGGGGUGGUUUGUGCUCAAGUGGAGGCGUCUCCCCCUUACCCUUGGGUGGUUUUCCACCGGAAAAUAUUGGUGGCUUGUGCGAGUCCUCAACAUCCUCACCUAGGAGGCGUCUGUGAGGAGGUUUGUGGUCAUGGGGUGGCUCCUUUCCCUCACCCUUAGGCGGUUUGUCACCUGGGAAUGGCUUCUUGGGUUCUUUACCAUUUGGCAAUUCAUGUCCAUGUGGAGGCUUCUCUCCCGUGCCCUUGGGUGGUUUACCACCGGAAAAUCUUGGUGGCUCGCGGGAGUCCUCAACAUCCUCACCUAGGAGGCGUCUGUGGGGAGGUUUGUGGUCAUGGGGUGGCUCCUUUCCCUCACCCUUAGGCGGUUUGUCACCUGGGAAUGGCUUCUUGGGUUCUUUACCAUUUGGCAAUUCAUGUCCUUGUGGAGGCUUCUCUCCCUUACCCUUGGGUGGUUUACCGCCUGUGGUUUUUGGAGGUUUGUGUGUGUCCUCAACAUCCUCACUCAGGAGGUGUCUGUGAGGAGGUUUUUCCCCAUGUACUGGUGGCUCCUUUCCCUUACCUUUCUCACCAGGAUGUGUUGGUGGCUUUUGACCAGGGAAAGGCUUGCCUCCCUUACCCUUGUAAGGCUCAUUAUCAUGGUGUUGAUUAGCUAGAGAAGGAGUGGUGAUCAUAAGAACCACCACUCCAAGGAGAAACACAAGCAAGAAAGCUUUAGACAUCUUAAUUUGGGAUCUUUGGGUUAUGCUGUGGUUCAAAACUGGAUCACUUGGUGCCCUUUUAUAAUGGAUGGAAGGGCUGGAGCUAUGUUGUCAACACAUACACACGCAAUUCUGCAUUUGUCCUCUACUUCUGUACUAGAUUCUUGAUUUCAUAGUGCACUAGAUACACCUCAAAGCAAGUGAUGCUUUUCCAAGGAUAGUAUGCAAAUGCAAAUGGGUCCGAUUUCGGGUCCCAUGUCCGGUUGAAAUGUUUGACAAUUUUACUAGUGCGCCCCAUUCACAUUUACUUUUGGUAGGAAAGUUAACAACCAGCCUAGUUUAGAAAGAGAUUCGGUAACAGGAGGUUGAUCUUCACAUUGAUGCAUCAAGGUCCUUGGCAAGAAUUGAGACAAACAUAGAUUUAAGAUUCAAUGUGCAAUAUUGAGUAAGGGCAUGCCCCAGUCAUCAAUUCUGAUGGAAUCAAUACAAUAUCGAGUUGUGAGACGACUAAAAACGCCACAGUUUUUAGUUAACUAAGUUCAAAAUCAACUAGCUAUGGUUGCUUGAAAAAAGAAGAAAGCGAGAAAGGUAAAAAUAUUCUUCACAUUUUUCAAUUGCAACCAUUAAAAGCUUUUAGACAGGAGUGUGGGCUUUUUCUGGAGAUAUUGUUGACAAAACGGUGUGAACUCUGGAAACUUUGGAAAAGUUACAAACUUUUGUCAUAAAAUAAUAUUAUAGAGAUUUAAGUCAAGUAACUUUAUCAAGUCAUCUAGUACAAAUUAGUUAAUAGUAGUGUCCACUAAGUCUCGGCUCGACGGAAAGAAAGACUACAAGAAAGAGAAAAGAAAAGAACAUAAUCUCGAUUUGGGGUAGUUCUUUUGAGAGCGUUUCCACAAGCUUAAUUUGUCGUUUUGCCAUAUGAUCAGUAUUAUCAUAUAAAAAUUGCAUAUUUCUUUUGGUGCAGAAGUUGGGUACUCGAGAUUCAUGUUUUUACACGUUCCUUUCUACCGACAUGUAUGCCGAUCAUUAGUAUUGGCUCUCCUCUCCCAUAGUAACAAUUGCAUCAAUAUUAAAAAAUAAAUACUAAGAGAAAUUUUUUAAUAUAUAUAUGGAUGGGCAUAGCCCUGUUGGAUGAGAUGACACUAACAGGUAAUUAAAAGUAGAUUACGCACCCACAGGGCCACAACAUGCAGAAAGUAACCUACUAAGCAUAACUUUUCUUUAUAUGAUCAUAUUCAACCGUUCAUAUAACUUUUCCACGACAUACCAUUUUUGGUCAAAAUAUUUAGUAUUUACUCUUUAACCUCACAUUUUUAAUGGCACGAUUCGUUGGAUGCAUGAUUUGAGAAAAAUGGGCAGAAAAAGACAGUUCGAAAUAAAGGAAUUUCGUUAACCAUUGGCUUUGGCUACAAGCCAAGAAAGGUUGCCAACUUUUGUAAUACUAGUAGCACUAGAAAGGCUGCGAGCCAAGCAUGGGAUUGCAUACUGAUUACUGAGACAGAAAUCAAAGAGAAGAUAGCGCAUGCUCUUGUCUUAUUUUGUUAUUUCUACUCUCUCUCUAUAUAACAUAAAUAAAUAGAAGGAAGCCCCAAAGGGGCUUCCAAGUUUAGCCAUGUCGUGGCUCUUUUUGGAUGACAUCUGUUCAGAAUAUAUUUAAUAUUAUUUGAUUUAUUUAUUUUUUUUAAGUUAAUGAAUUCCAUUCAUAGUAAAACAGGGAUAAGUUCCCUGGAUACAAAAACAAAGCACAUGAUUUUAAGAUGCUACGCCUUGAUCGUCAUCUCGUUUCAAAAUUAUCUUGACAACCUGCCCAGGAGAAGCCAUCAAAAAAUAAAUCACAAAAAACAAACAUCCCUAUCAUCAAUUUACAAACAAAUGAAUAUUCAAAACCAGCAUAAAGCCACAAAGUCAUACCAAAAUCCCCCUGCUCAGUAAUUCAUUCCAGAUCAAUAAAAAACAUGUUGCAAUCUAAUCCAAAAUUCUAAACUCCAGAGCACAUGUCUUUACAAGUAACCACAACAUCUCAUUCAAAAGACUCCAUAUCAUCUCCGUAUUAUUUGAUUUGUUGAGGAUGCAUGUAUGGUAUUUUCUUUUUAUGCUCACUAAAACCAACUAAUGUUCUGGCUUUGGUCCAAUUGAGUCUUACUCCAGAAAACAUUAAUAGGCAAAGAAGCAAAGUAAAAACCACUUCAAAAAAAAAAAAAACAGAGUGACAUAGAGUGAAGGAAACUUGCACUUCGAAUGGAAAGUUGGCUAGGUUCUUUAGAAAGAGAGGAAAUUGGCGGUAAAAGGAAGGGAAAGAG